ACCACACGUGUGUAAUUUGCUUCCGUAUUCCUCAGUUUCCUCAUCCGUACAAACAAUAAAAUCCACAUCUCCAGAAGAUCACAGAAGACUGCGCAAACCACAGAAGCCACGAAGGAGGGGCUAAGCGCUGACUGACGCCCCGGGGCGAGAUGGAAUUAAAGCUCCAGAUAGGGAUCUACUGUCAGAGUGUCCACUCCAGCCCAAAACUGGCUUGAACUGGGAUUACACAAGAUUUGAGAGCCGUCCUGCAACCUUCUGACCUGUCUGCUGCUCCAGAGCUGUGAUGAACCCAUACAGGGCCACCCUGAGUUCUCUCCUGCUCCCAUCUGGCUGCAACCUGAUUCUGUUUCUUUAGAGAAAGUGAAAAUAAUAAUAAUAAUAAUAAAAAAACCUGUUGAGGUCAA
Molecule: non-coding RNA, 404 nt
Organism: Myodes glareolus (Bank vole)
Lineage: Eukaryota; Metazoa; Chordata; Mammalia; Rodentia; Cricetidae
Source: RefSeq, a predicted model, not a curated record